AAGAGACCCAGCUGAGAUGCUGUUAGUCCAUAGGAGAGCAGGUCUUAGGAAAGCAUUGGAUAAAAGCACUUAAAACAAGUUUCCUCUCCAGGCCCAGCCAGCGGAGCAGAUCUUCCUCUCCCCCCUCUACCAGCUGAUAGAAGAUGUGGAAGUUUCUCUCUCCGUGAUUCUGGUGCACCACGCGGGACUUUUCCAACAGAUAGCUCAGAAUGUGACCGCCUACUGCACCGCCCUGAGGGAGAAAGGAAGAAGAAAAGUCAGAGGAUCAACAAAGUCAUGAGGGUCCACCCUCUGGGAACCAUGAACAUCUGUUCAAAAUGUAUCCAUCUGUUUCUUGCUGUAGAUAUCCAAGUCUUUGUACGGGUUGACGGAUACCAAAAGAGUCCCAAUGUAAGUCUGCAGAGAAAGACAAGGACAGGAAGUCAUGUUCUGCAGCUCUUGCACAUUUGAUGAUCCAGGAGAUUGUUUGUCUCAAACAUUACUUCACAUUAAAGUAAUGCUCCCAGCGCUGCAGGUUUCAUGUACCACUUUGCUGAUCAGUAAUUUUGUUCCUCUUAUCAAAAGCAAUAAGUUAGAUGAUAUCUUUGUAAGACCUUACGGACAGUGGUAACCUUUAAAUUGCUCACACUGCAAUUUAGAAGAACAGGAGCUGCUGUUUCAGCAACACGAGGUGCCAGAUUCAGCAGAAGGCAACACAACCAUAGGACCUUUAAGGGUCAAAGGUGGAGGACUUGAGGUUUAAUUAGAGGGAGACGGAGAGAUAGUAUGUCAAACAUUUUGUCACAGAGGAAGGCUCACGUAAAUGAGGUUCUCAUGGAAGCGUUUCCUCAGGUUGUCCAGGAAGGCACUCUCACUCGUGUGGGGGUCGAGGAGAACAAAAUCCUGGAUGCCCACGCGAUCCCGGGCCGUCAGGGAGGCCUCCAUGUUCCUCAGGAUUUUGUCACAGCGCUCAUCCAGGCUCUGGGACCAAACAGAAAGACAUAGCAACAGAACAACCCUUGUUUAUGCAC
Long non-coding RNA from Notolabrus celidotus (New Zealand spotty), 1010 nucleotides. RefSeq lists it as uncharacterized. Lineage: Eukaryota; Metazoa; Chordata; Actinopteri; Labriformes; Labridae. The transcript has 4 exons. The record is from RefSeq and is a predicted model, not a curated record.